Molecule: long non-coding RNA, 468 nt
Filed under: Bos taurus (domestic cattle)
Lineage: Eukaryota; Metazoa; Chordata; Mammalia; Artiodactyla; Bovidae
Description: long non-coding RNA NONBTAT011111
Source: RNAcentral
GAGGUAAAUGUUCAGUUUAUUUGGUUUCAGAAUUUUAGUACUCUUUGGUAUUGUGAAAUAUAAUACAUGAAGAGUGUGUGUUUUUUUGGGGAAUAUUCAUCCACUUACACAAUAUUCAAGAAAGUCUUUAAAGAUAACCCCCUACAAAGGUAUCAGGGAACAACAAAAUAAAUUCCAUUUCUAGUCAAAUAGAAACCGUAUUUAAUGAUUUAAUGAACACUCAUAAAUUAAUUAGCUAACUUGUAAAUAAAGAAAGUACUGGGAAUCAAAUACAUUCUAACCAUGAUGAUGCUAAUAGUAGUGGCUAUCAUGGUAUAACUGUGUACCUAUGUGAUUUAGGAAUUAGAAAAAGGUAACCAGACUUUAUGUAUUUAUAGUACACAUAUUAUCUCAUGUAUAAGUAUACACAUAUGCUGAAUUUUUAACUUCUAAAUCCCUUUUUUCAUUCCUUCAGAUUCUUUUUUUUUU